This is a small nucleolar RNA of Arvicanthis niloticus (Nile rat), 143 nucleotides long. RefSeq annotates it as small nucleolar RNA SNORA48. The record is from RefSeq and is a predicted model, not a curated record. Lineage: Eukaryota; Metazoa; Chordata; Mammalia; Rodentia; Muridae.
AACCCUGGCAGUGGGCAAAGAGACACCUUGUUGGUGGUGGUGUUCUUAUAUCAGUCAAGGGCAGAGCAGAUGGCAGUCCUUUGUUCAUCCUAGCUUGAUGCCUGUCUUGGUAGCCAAAGAUGUCUUAUAUCUAGGACUUAUAA